CAGGGUAUCAAAUCGUUAGGGAUGAGAACCGUAAAAGGUUCGAGCCGAGCGAAGCGAGACAGCAACGCGCAGCGUUGACCCGAAGGGCGAGUAAUCCCGCACGACCCACCA
RNAcentral lists this small RNA (111 nucleotides) under Yersinia enterocolitica. RNAcentral's name for it is "RtT sRNA". It matches the Rfam family "RtT RNA". From Rfam's summary of the family: This family represents a bacterial cis-regulatory element known as RtT RNA. The exact function of RtT is unknown although it is thought that it may be involved in changing the cellular response in relation to amino acid starvation. Lineage: Bacteria; Pseudomonadati; Pseudomonadota; Gammaproteobacteria; Enterobacterales; Yersiniaceae. The record is from RNAcentral.